UCGUAACAGGUUUCCGUAGUGAACCUGCGGAAGGAUCAUUAUUGAAUUGGGUUGCUGCUGGCUCUCUCAAGGAAAGCAUGUGCACACCCCUGUCAUCUUUAUAUUUCCACCUGUGCACCAUUUGUAGACUUUUGUCUAUGUUGCUUCAUAUACACAUGUUAAUAAAGAAUGUUGUGAUUUUAAUUUAUACAACUUUCAGCAACGGAUCUCUUGGCUCUCGCAUCGAUGAAGAACGCAGCGAAAUGCGAUAAGUAAUGUGAAUUGCAGAAUUCAGUGAAUCAUCGAAUCUUUGAACGCAUCUUGCGCUCCUUGGUAUUCCGAGGAGCAUGCCUGUUUGAGUGUCAUCAUUAACCUAUCAAACCUUUUUUAUAUAUGGUUUGGAUGUGGAGGAUUUUAUUUUUGCUGGGCCCCCCUUGUAAAGGGGUUCAGCUCCUCUGAAAUGCAUUAGCAGAAUGAUCUGUCCCAUUCAUUGGUGUGAUAACUAAUCUAUGCUAUUGGAUGGGUGAGGCAGUUCAGAUAUAUACAUUUUAUGUGACCUCAAAUCAGGUAGGACUACCCGCUGAACUUAA
Molecule: ribosomal RNA, 569 nt
Filed under: Cortinarius purpurellus
Lineage: Eukaryota; Fungi; Basidiomycota; Agaricomycetes; Agaricales; Cortinariaceae
Description: eukaryotic LSU rRNA
Rfam family: 5.8S ribosomal RNA (bases 191-344)
Source: RNAcentral